Long non-coding RNA from Schistocerca americana (American grasshopper), 888 nucleotides. RefSeq lists it as uncharacterized. The record is from RefSeq and is a predicted model, not a curated record. The transcript has 2 exons. NCBI's taxonomy places the organism in Eukaryota, Metazoa, Arthropoda, Insecta, Orthoptera, Acrididae.
CUGGACUCGAAUUUGGGAAGUUGACGGUUCAAUCCUGUGUCAUACACAUUUAGGUUUUCUGCGAUUUCCCUACAUCACUCUACGGAAAUGCCGGGACAGUUCCUAUCGGAGAGUGCGGCCAAUUUCCUUCCCUGUCUUUGACACGAUCUGACCUCGUGCUCCAUAUCUAAUGACCCCGAUGUUGACAGGAUGUUAAAUCCGACCUUCCUUCCUCGUUUCCAUUAUUCACAAAUAGAAAUCUUUAGCUAUAAUUUGUAAAAGGACAGCAAAUAACAGUAACUGAAUGUACUGCAGAUUUUUGUACUUUAUAAAAGAGAGGUUGCUAAGAGCCACACGAGUCAGUCUCCAGAAGUGUAUAAUGUGAGCGAGAUCUGUUCCAAAAAUUGCUGCACACUGCCGGCAGAAGAGUUAGCACUGUGUACUGAGUUUUAUAUGAAUUUCACAUCUGGGAGAUCAUUCUGUAGUUUAAUUCCAAAUUCACAGUGAAUCAUUCAAAAGCAACAACUAAUCUCGAGAACUCUGUCAAACUUCGACAACGGUUUCUGGAAACUGUAACGACAGUAUUGGACUGUGACCUGUGUUAUCUCCAAAUGAUAUUUACUGUGCAUAUCAUUUUCAUUUUGAUGUGAUUAGUUACUUGAAAGGAUAACAAUUUAAGGAUGUUAAUUGGUGACUGUGUUAAUUGAACGUCAGCCACACAUAAACUUCUGUCACUUUAGUGUUUAGGUUACUACACUUGAACAACCGUCAUCAUUGUAACAUCAGUAGAGUGUACUAUGUGGCUUAUCCUUUAUCUGUGCAUAAAUUACAGUGACUGGGACUCAGAUCUGACCAUAAACAAAAAGUUAUUUAAUAUCAAAGUGCAAAUAAAGUGUUUUGGAUUCUAAA